CACUUCAAUACCGCCACAUUGGAGGUCCAUGACCUAAUGAGUCCAUGGCCAUCUCGACCAUGAAGAGGGGGUUAUAUAGUUCCAAGUUCACAUAUUUCCUGGAUAAGACACUCUUUCGAAUGUAUGCUGAACUCCUCGAGUACGCACGAAGUAUAUUCGCAUCAAAAAAUGUACUUCCGACUAACGUCAAUAUGAAGGCAA
This 201-nucleotide long non-coding RNA is filed under the name Elaeis guineensis (African oil palm). RNAcentral's name for it is "long non-coding RNA (EGUI_LNC063081)". The record is from RNAcentral. Lineage: Eukaryota; Viridiplantae; Streptophyta; Magnoliopsida; Arecales; Arecaceae.